Molecule: ribosomal RNA, 466 nt
Filed under: uncultured bacterium
Lineage: Bacteria
Description: bacterial SSU rRNA
Rfam family: Bacterial small subunit ribosomal RNA
Source: RNAcentral
ACUCCUACGGGAGGCAGCAGUGGGGAAUAUUGCACAAUGGGGGAAACCCUGAUGCAGCCAUGCCGCGUGUGUGAAGAAGGCCUUCGGGUUGUAAAGCACUUUCAGUAGGGAGGAAGGUAGUGUAGUUAACACCUAGCACUUAUUUGACGUUACCUACAGAAGAAGCACCGGCUAACUCCGUGCCAGCAGCCGCGGUAAUACGGAGGGUGCGAGCGUUAAAUCGGAAUUACUGGGCGUAAAGCGCAUGCAGGCGGCCUGUUAAGUCAGAUGUGAAAGCCCGGGGGCUUAACCUCGGAAUUGCAUUUGAAACUGGCAGACUAGAGUACUGUAGAGGGGGGUAGAAUUUCAGGUGUAGCGGUGAAAAUGCGUAGAGAUCUGAAGGAAUACCGGUGGCGAAGGCGGCCCCCUGGACAGAUACUGACACUCAGAUGCGAAAAGGCGUGGGGGAGCAAAACAGGGAUUAGAU